Non-coding RNA from Caenorhabditis brenneri, 68 nucleotides. The record is from the annotation of a GenBank genome assembly. NCBI's taxonomy places the organism in Eukaryota, Metazoa, Nematoda, Chromadorea, Rhabditida, Rhabditidae.
CCGGCGGUGGCGCAGUGGCUAGCGCAGGCGUUUUGUAAAAUUGCUACCCGGGUUCGACCCCCGCUGGA